UACGUAGGCAGCAAACGUUGUUCGGAGUUACUGGGCGUAAAGAGUACGUAGGCGGUUUGCCAAGUUUGGUGUGAAAUCUCCUGGCUUAACUGGGAGGGUGCGCCGAAUACUGGCGAGCUUGAGUGUUGGAGAGGGGAGCGGAAUUCCUGGUGUAGCGGUGAAAUGCGUAGAUAUCAGGAGGAACACCGGUGGUGUAGACGGCUCCCUGGACAACCACUGACGCUGAGGUACGAAAGCGUGGGUAGCAAACAGG
Molecule: ribosomal RNA, 253 nt
Filed under: uncultured bacterium
Lineage: Bacteria
Description: partial 16S ribosomal RNA
Rfam family: Bacterial small subunit ribosomal RNA
Source: RNAcentral